Molecule: ribosomal RNA, 776 nt
Filed under: Nematocarcinus africanus
Lineage: Eukaryota; Metazoa; Arthropoda; Malacostraca; Decapoda; Nematocarcinidae
Description: eukaryotic LSU rRNA
Rfam family: Eukaryotic large subunit ribosomal RNA
Source: RNAcentral
AUUAAUAAGCGGAGGAAAAGAAACCAACCGGGAUUCCCUGAGUAAGGGCGACUGAAACGGGAGGAGCCCAGCGCAUAACCUCGCGGUCCUUUGCCGGCCGACGAGGGGUGUUGCGUUUCGGUGGAUCCAUCCCGCUCGGACCGUUUACCGCCUAAGUCAUUGCUUGAAAGCAGCCCCAAGGAGGGUGAUAGGCCCGUGUGGCGGCGCCUGUAAAAAGGGUAAAGGCGGUCCGGGCGGAGGGGUCUUCACCGCAGAGUCGGGUUGCUUAGUACUGCAGCCCUAAGCAGGUGGUAAACUCCAUCUAAGGCUAAAUACUACCACGAGUCCGAUAGAGAACAAGUACCGUGAGGGAAAGUUGAAAAGGACUUUGAAGAGAGAGUUCAAAAGGACGUGAAACCGUUAGAAGCAUAAACGGGUGGAACCGCGAAGGUCGAACGAGGGGAUUCAGCUCGUCGGUCUCGGGAAGCGGGUGGCGGCACAUGAGAAUUGCAGUGUGAGGACCCAGCGCAGAGUGCUUUAGCUGUGGCACCGCCCCCGCCUCCUUAGUUGCCGGCGGGCUUACUUCUCCCUCCAGUAGGUCGCCGCGACCCGUUGCGGGGACCCCCAAGGCCGUGUCGGAUUGGUAGCCGAGGUGUUUGCGCGCCUGGGUGAUGACCGGGUGCGGUUCUGACGGGCCCCUGCGACGGUCACUGCGAGGAGGCAGGGCGUGCGUCGUUUUUUGCGGCGUGGGCCCUUGCCUCUCGCGGCGUAAAAGGGAUCGGUAAUCCACCCGACCC